CCUACGGGGGGCAGCAGUGGGGAAUUUUGGACAAUGGGCGCAAGCCUGAUCCAGCUAUUCCGCGUGUGGGAAGACGGCCUUCGGGUUGUAAACCACUUUUGUAGAGAACGAAAAGUCUGUUGAUAAUACCGAUAGAUGAUGACGGUACUCUAAGAAUAAGCACCGGCUAACUACGUGCCAGCAGCCGCGGUAAUACGUAGGGUGCGAGCGUUAAUCGGAAUUACUGGGCGUAAAGGGUGUGCAGGCGGUGUUGCAAGAUGGAUGUGAAAGCCCCGGGCUUAACCUGGGAAAGCCAUACAUGACUGCAUGACUAGAGUGCGUCAGAGGGGGGUGGAAUUCCAAGUGUAGCAGUGAAAUGCGUAGAUAUUUGGAAGAACACCGAUGGCGAAGGCAGCCCCCUGGGACGCAACUGACGCUCAUACACGAAAGCGUGGGGAGCAAACAGGAUUAGAUACCCGAGUAGUC
RNAcentral lists this ribosomal RNA (465 nucleotides) under uncultured bacterium. RNAcentral's name for it is "partial 16S ribosomal RNA". It matches the Rfam family "Bacterial small subunit ribosomal RNA", at positions 338 to 795 of the family's 1533-position model. The record is from RNAcentral.